GUGCUAGGCGUAGCGUUACCAUGCAGUCGAGCGGGGAAGAGUAGCUUGCUACCUGACCUAGCGGCGGACGGGUGAGUAAUGCUUAGGAAUCUGCCUAUUAGUGGGGGACAACAUCUCGAAAGGGAUGCUAAUACCGCAUACGUCCUACGGGAGAAAGCAGGGGACCUUCGGGCCUUGCGCUAAUAGAUGAGCCUAAGUCGGAUUAGCUAGUUGGUGGGGUAAAGGCCUACCAAGGCGACGAUCUGUAGCGGGUCUGAGAGGAUGAUCCGCCACACUGGGACUGAGACACGGCCCAGACUCCUACGGGAGGCAGCAGUGGGGAAUAUUGGACAAUGGGGGGAACCCUGAUCCAGCCAUGCCGCGUGUGUGAAGAAGGCCUUUUGGUUGUAAAGCACUUUAAGCGAGGAGGAGGCUACCGAGAUUAAUACUCUUGGAUAGUGGACGUUACUCGCAGAAUAAGCACCGGCUAACUCUGUGCCAGCAGCCGCGGUAAUACAGAGGGUGCAAGCGUUAAUCGGAUUUACUGGGCGUAAAGCGCGCGUAGGUGGCCAAUUAAGUCAAAUGUGAAAUCCCCGAGCUUAACUUGGGAAUUGCAUUCGAUACUGGUUGGCUAGAGUAUGGGAGAGGAUGGUAGAAUUCCAGGUGUAGCGGUGAAAUGCGUAGAGAUCUGGAGGAAUACCGAUGGCGAAGGCAGCCAUCUGGCCUAAUACUGACACUGAGGUGCGAAAGCAUGGGGAGCAAACAGGAUUAGAUACCCUGGUAGUCCAUGCCGUAAACGAUGUCUACUAGCCGUUGGGGCCUUUGAGGCUUUAGUGGCGCAGCUAACGCGAUAAGUAGACCGCCUGGGGAGUACGGUCGCAAGACUAAAACUCAAAUGAAUUGACGGGGGCCCGCACAAGCGGUGGAGCAUGUGGUUUAAUUCGAUGCAACGCGAAGAACCUUACCUGGUCUUGACAUAGUAAGAACUUUCCAGAGAUGGAUUGGUGCCUUCGGAAACUUACAUACAGGUGCUGCAUGACUGUCGUCAGCUCGUGUCGUGAGAAUGUUGGGGUUAAGUCCCGCAACGAGCGCAACCAUUUCCUUAUUUGGCCAGCGGCUAGCGGUUACCUUUCAGGAAUACUGACAGUGACAACUGAGAACGCGGGAUCGACGGUCAGUCAUUCAUGUUCCGUUAACGAAACCAAGGAC
Molecule: ribosomal RNA, 1188 nt
Filed under: Acinetobacter sp.
Lineage: Bacteria; Pseudomonadati; Pseudomonadota; Gammaproteobacteria; Moraxellales; Moraxellaceae
Description: bacterial SSU rRNA
Rfam family: Bacterial small subunit ribosomal RNA
Source: RNAcentral